AUUUUUAAUUGAAAUCUGGAAUGAAUGGUUGGAUGAAAUAUAAACUUUUUUAUUUUUAAAUUUUUAAUUUUAAUUAUUAGUUAAAAUUCUAAUAUAUUAUUUUGGGACGAGAAGACCCUAUAGAAUUUUAUAUUUAAUUUUAUUAUUAUAAAUUAUAAUAUAAAAAAUUGAUAAAUUUAAAAUAUUAAGUUGGGGUGAUUUUAAAAUUUUAAAAACUUUUUAAAAUUAUUUCAAUAAUAAUUGUUUUUAUGAUCUUUUAUUAUUGAUUAAUAAAUAAAAUUACCUUAGGGAUAACAGCAUAAUAUUUUUAAAGAGUUCUUAUUUUUAAAAUAAAUUAU
This 338-nucleotide ribosomal RNA is filed under the name Lestodiplosis polypori. RNAcentral describes it as "partial 16S ribosomal RNA". Lineage: Eukaryota; Metazoa; Arthropoda; Insecta; Diptera; Cecidomyiidae. The record is from RNAcentral.